UGUAAAUAUGAUGAAUGCAUCCACGGCUUCAUUAGCUCUGCCUUCCCACAGCACAGCUUUAUAGUCUGAGGUGGCUCUGUCAGGUCUAUCAACAGCACAGAGAGUUUUUCCAUUUUUGUAUGUGGCUGGUAGAAACUGACCAAAAUGCUAGAGCUGGUGUUAGUGAUCUUUUCCUGGACUUGUGUGAUGGAAGGAUUGGCAAACAGUGUUUGAGGAUUCAUGUGUGUGUGCAGAGUGGGGUUCACAGUCUUUAAGGACAAAUGGUCUGCAGUGGACUUUUUUCUUUUUUCUUUUUUUUUUUUUUUUAAAUUUCACAGCAGACUGACUUCACUUUUCUUCUUCUUCUUCUUUGUCUGCGGUUGAGUUUUAAAAUCUGACGUCCACGAUGCCGAUGAAGCGCAGCAGUGAGAGUUCAGGCAGAGAUGGAGUGUUUCUCAUUCACUCUUUAACCAAGACUUUGUGCAGCUCACCAGAGGAAACACACAGAGAUUUCAAUGGGCAGACACAUUUUCCUCAGGAAGAUGAUGCUGGGAUUAAAUCAGAAGCCGAGGACAGUAAUGAGACUCCAUCCUCUGAAGAAGACCAGGACCUGGUGGACUUUAACGCAGACCUGACCAUCAAACAGAGCAUCUCCUCGUCCAGGAAGACCAUCAGUCAGAUCAUCAAAGACAAGAAGAAACAGACGCAGCUCACUCUGCAGUGGCUGGAGGAGAAUUACAUAGUGUGUGAAGGAGUGUGUCUGCCUCGAUGUAUCCUCUAUGCCCACUAUCUGGACUUCUGCAGGAAAGAGAAACUAGAGCCGGCCUGUGCUGCAACAUUUGGAAAGACGAUCCGACAGAAGUUUCCUCUUCUGACGACGAGAAGACUGGGCACCAGAGGACACUCCAAAUAUCAUUACUAUGGAAUUGGCAUCAAAGAAAGCAGCGCCUACUAUCACUCUGUGUAUUCUGGGAAAGGUUUGACCAGAUUUUCAGGGAGUAAGCUCAAGAAUGAGGGAGGUUUCACCAGGAAAUACUCUCUGAGCUCCAAAACUGGAACUUUGCUCCCGGACUUCCCCAGUGCUCAGCACCUUCUGCUGCAGGGAAACAUCUCCAGGGAAAAGGUGGACACUCUGAUCAUGAUGUAUAAAACACACUGCCAGUGCAUCCUGGACAACGCCAUUAACGUCAACUUUGAGGAGAUCCAGAAUUUUCUGCUCCACUUCUGGCAGGGAAUGCCCGACCACCUGCUGCCGCUGCUGGAAAACCCUGUUAUAGUCGACAUCUUCUGCGUCUGCGACUCCAUUCUCUAUAAGGUUUUAACAGAUGUUCUGAUUCCUGCUACGAUGCAGGAGAUGCCUGAAAGUCUGUUGGCAGAUAUCCGCAACUUUGCCAAACACUGGGAGCACUGGCUGGCCUCCUCCCUGGAAAACCUCCCAGAAUGCCUUGCAGCCAAGAAACUGCCUAUUGCGCGCCGCUUUGUCUCCUCCCUGAAGAGACAGACCUCGUUCCUGCACCUGGCACAGAUAGCCCGUCCGGCGCUGUUUGACCAGGCCGUGGUGACCAGCAUGGUGCUGGAUAUCGAUAAUGUGGAUCUCAGCAGCAUCAGCUCACAGCCUCUGCUCAGCAUAAACGCUACAGGAGACCAAGACCCAGACAUCUACUCUGAGUAUGACUCCAUCACCGUCUUUCAGGAGCUGAAGGAGCUGCUGAGGAAGAACGCCACAGUGGAGUCCUUCAUCGAGUGGUUGGACUCUGUCGUGGAGCAUAAAGUCAUCAAGCCCGGGAAGCAGAGCGGCCGAUCGGUGAAGAAGCGAGCUCAGGAUUUCCUGCUCAGGUGGAGUUUCUUUGGUGCCAGAGUGAUGCACAACCUCACACUCAACAACGCCUCCAGCUUUGGUUCCUUCCAUCUGAUCAGGAUGCUGUUAGACGAGUACAUCCUGUUGGCUCUGGAGACUCAGUUUAACAACGACAAGGAGCAGGACUUGCAGAACCUGCUGGACAAAUACAUGAAAAAUGCAGAUGCCAGUAAACUAGCGCUCAUGGCUUCACCUAGUUCCUGCUUUCUUGCCAAUCGCAACAAGGCCAACUCCGCCACUGACCAAUCGGUGAAGAACGAGUCUCUGGUAGAACACGCCUAUAUGUCUCUGUCCACCAAUCAGCAGCAAAGUCUGGAGACAAGCACGGUCAUCUACCAGGGGACAGAUACUGCUGGCUUCACAGUUUCAGGUGGUCAGAUGGACUUCUCUCAGAUCAGCGGGCCCCUCAUGACGCCCCCUAUCUCUCCAGCAGCGUUAGUGCACCGAGGCUCCGUCAUCAACCAGGGGCCCAUGGCGGGCAGACUCCUGCCGUCUUCCUGUUCUUCCUCCACCUGCUCCACCUCCUCUUCCUCAUGCCUCUCCUCUCUCAGUGCAAUGACCCAGCCCAGCCCCUGCUCUUCCUACCCGGAGACCCUGUAUCACUGCUUACCUCAGACCAGCUCUAGUUACUUCCCUCCAGCCAGCAGCUCCUCAACCUCGAACUACCAGCCUGCACUCAGACCUCAGACCCAAAAUCAGUGUCUGGCCUCAGUUCAGUCUCAGGCUUCAUCUCUGGCCUACCAGCUCUCUCGGUACCCCUCGUUUAAUGACCAGCAGCUGACUAAAGACUUGUUCUACAAUCAUCAUCAUCAUCAUCCUCCUUCAUCAGUCCAUCACUCAUCCAGCAGCACGAACUGCUCCCUGACACCUUAUGCCUCUGCAGUCCGGCCCACAUCCACCUACAGUUCAGGUUCAGAUCCGGUUCAGACUGAACAGGGGCUGGACGUUCAGACUGCCGCUCAGAUUCUGGACUCAGCUGAAGGGUUCGGCUUUGUGGGAGCAGGACUGAACCCCUCAAGUGGUGGGUGUCAGGGACAGACGUUUUCUGCCACAGGACACAGCGGUUACUAUGGCAACAGCAGUUACCUGGACAGCCAGCGGAUGACAUCACUGGUCGACCAGCACGUGUCCGUCAUCAGCAGCGUCAGCAGUCUGCGUCCCUUCCCUUCAACGUACUCUGAAGUUCACGAUCCGCUCAACAUCCUGGACGAGCCAGGAAGGAAAACUACAGGAACCUACUUCACAGAGGCUGAACCUGGAGCAGAUCAUUCCCUUCCCCCGUCGGGAUCUGCUCCCUGCAUGUUUGGAGUUCCCUCUCCGUUCCCCCCGCAGGAAACACUGUUGUCUCAGCAGCGCGUGACGCCAUCCUCAGAGGUGCAGGACCUGGUGUCCUCGCUGCCUCCCAUCAACACCGUCUUCAUGGGCGCAGGAGGAGUGCAAUGACUCUGAGAACACAAACAUCCGCUCGAGUCGAAUCAGAGCAACUUUAUAACUCUUUAUAACAGUGGAGUGAGGGAGGUGAACGCCGUGUGACGAGGACACUCAAACCCAGAACAUCCGAACUGUGAGAUUCUUGUAAAUAAAGCCUCACAGGUGAUACGCCAUGCUUUUCACUGACUGCACAACAAGAGGAAAACAAUCUAACGGCGCUGCGGUCCACACCUGCUCAACUUGCAUUAAGAGCUUGUUUAUAUACAGGCCUUUAGAGCCAAGCAAUGCUGCAGGGGAUGAAAACUAUUCUUUUUGCAAUUUCAUUUUGAGGGUUUGUUUCUGAACUUUUUGUCCUGAUGAGUCUCGGGCUGGUUCUCAGGGUACACUUCACUACUGACUCGUGGUUCAAAGUGCAAAGGUGUAGGCACCUUAUUACAUAAGAGUACUGAACAUUUACUGGUUCCACCUUCUCCAGUGUGAGGAUUUACUGGUUUCCUCUGUUUUACUUCAUUGGAAAUUGAAUGUCUUUGAACUUUGGAGUUUUGGUUGGACAAAACAAGUCAUUUAAAGACUUGUAACAAUUUUAUUCUUAUAUAAGCUAAACAAUUAACAUUUUAAUUGAUAUUGGAAAAAUUACAAUUAAUGGUAGCCUUAAUGUCAAUGCACACAUUUUAUGCCAAAUCCAGUGUUUUGUGGUGCUUUGAGCUAAAUGCUAACAUUAGCCCAAUGGCAAUGCUAUAACAUGCUGCUGUUUAGCAGGUAUAAAGUUUACCAUCUUCAAAAUUUUGCGUGUUGACAUGUUAUCGUUUGCUAAUUAGCACUACACAACAAAGUGCAGGCGGGGCUGAUGGGAAUGUCAGUUUUUCAGAUGUUUGGUCAUAAACUAAAGUAUCUGACAAAUGAAAAGUCAGGGGAUUAUCAAAGCAGUUCGUGUUCAUCCUCUGGGGGAUAUGAAUAUGAAUGUCUGCACCAAAUCUCAUGGAAAUCCACCCAAUGCUUAAAACGAUAUGACUCUCAAAACCACAAAUGUCAACUGCGUGGUGUUGGUGGAUGCAAAGUCAGAAUCAUGAAAGUCAUUUGGAUUCAUCCUGUGGGGAAUAUCUGUCUGUGUAAAAUUACAUGAGAUAUUUUAGUUUGGACCAAAGAGGUAGAUCAAACUCCUCCAGUAGCGGCUGCUGCUCUUAUGAAAAACAGCAGUGGAUUUGCACAAAGACUACAUGGAUUAUUAACAUUAUGUACCUGGUUGCAUAUUUGGCUCUUUAUUUUAUUCACUGCAAUAAUGGAGAUACUGAACAGAACGGACCAGGGAACAGCUUGUGUUCUUGCUUUUGUCUGCCUCUGCAGCGGAUUGACUUUCAGUCAAUAAAAGAACCCAAUAGAAUCUUUAUCUGCUCCGAUUCAAAGACCUCAUGUCAAACCACUAAACACAUGAGUCUUUAAUGGCUGAGCUUGCAGACGGAAGCACAAUUGAAGACCGGGGAUCAAAGUUGGGAGGUUUUUAUUUGUAAUUAUUUGGUUUCUCUGCGACACAAUGGAGCGAGAUAUGACUGAGAUAAUGGUGUUUACAAAAUGUUACGAGAACCAACAAAGAUAAAUGGAGGGAGGGGGGGGGGGUAGAUGAUGUCUGUGAGUAAGCUUUUAAUAUCACACCAUGCUGACGUCGGUAAAACAUGGAAACAUGUCUCCUCUCAAGUUUGUCGGCCCUGGACCAGAUGGGACGUCAUAAAACCACCAGAUCAAAGCAGAUUCAAACAUCACAGUUUGUUUGGUCACUUUCUUCUGACAGAACAUUUCAAUAAA
Seriola aureovittata is the source of this 5068-nucleotide RNA transcript. It is a transcript of the gene named regulatory factor X, 6, with no coding region annotated. The transcript has 21 exons. NCBI's taxonomy places the organism in Eukaryota, Metazoa, Chordata, Actinopteri, Carangiformes, Carangidae. The record is from RefSeq and is a predicted model, not a curated record.